GAUGGUACAGACUGACCCACUAACACAAAAUGUUUGUUCCCGACUCUUUGAUGGAAGAAGCUGCAGCAGCGUUUGCACAUUUCAGAUUAAAACCACAACACCUGCUGUGAUACUUCAAAUGGAGGGGAGACUCGUUCAGCCGCUGCCAGGCCCAAGAUUAUUAUCAUUAAGAGGAAGCAAAUAAAAUGUCCCUCAGACAAGGUUGACAAACCCAGCUCCCUGCGCCGGGCUCCUCAGGGACCAUCGCUUCAAUACGGCGAGGGCAAACAACACCAGCCGAUACCAACACCAUUACCACCUCCUAUAGUUACUUAUCCUCCCCGCCCUCCCUGCGGAGUGCUCCCCUCCACACAGACCAGGGGAAAAAGGCAUUAAGAUCCUCCAGCAGCACAGAGAAAGAGUCCUGCUUUCAUUUAUCACCAUCGCUAUUGGCCCUAAAAGGGACAAAUGUCUGUUCUCCGUCCUCGUGCCGCUGGAAUCGGAGAAACGUGUGAGGUGGAAGUUGUUUCCUGCUCCGGAGACGCUCCACUGCGAGGCUGUUCAGCAGGAAGGGAACAGGUGUGCGGAGCUUCUGGCUUCCACCAUGUGUUCCAGUUGUUUCAUCUGCAGCUGUUCUCCCCCCCCCCUCCCCCACCCCCCCCUACUCCCAUAUACCAUGAUCAAAACACUUUAUUAACCAUAAAGCCUUCUUGUUUGUGCGCCGCUCCGUCUCUGCCUCUUAAGUGUUUUCCUUCAACAGUCACAUAUCAUCGUGCAGUAAUUAAAUCAUGCAGCAGAGGUCAUAUUCACCAGGAAGAUGCAGCGUGUCCUGCUCAAAAGAUAAACUUCCAUUUAUCUGCGUUUGCAAAUUGAUGCUUGUAGUGAUUGAAAUUAGAGUAAAACCAGCUCAGGAAGCAGUGGUUAUUAGUUUUUAGUGAUGUUUUUAAAUGUAAACGUGCUUUUGUUAAUUAUGUAAAAGUUAUUUAUGUGAAUGUGACAUUGACCUGGAGAUUUAACUGGAGCUGAAAUCUUUCCACGUGCUGUUAAUCUGAAACUCCAGCAAAUAAAUCUUUUA
Molecule: RNA transcript, 1054 nt
Organism: Paralichthys olivaceus (Japanese flounder)
Lineage: Eukaryota; Metazoa; Chordata; Actinopteri; Pleuronectiformes; Paralichthyidae
Gene name: teashirt homolog 2
Source: RefSeq, a predicted model, not a curated record